UACGUAGGGUGCAAGCGUUAAUCGGAAUUACUGGGCGUAAAGCGUGCGCAGGCGGCUAUGCAAGACAGAUGUGAAAUCCCCGGGCUUAACCUGGGAACUGCAUUUGUGACUGCAUGGCUAGAGUGCGGCAGAGGGGGAUGGAAUUCCGCGUGUAGCAGUGAAAUGCGUAGAUAUGCGGAGGAACACCGAUGGCGAAGGCAAUCCCCUGGGCCUGUACUGACGCUCAUGCACGAAAGCGUGGGGAGCAAACAGG
This 253-nucleotide ribosomal RNA is filed under the name uncultured bacterium. Its description in RNAcentral is "partial 16S ribosomal RNA". It matches the Rfam family "Bacterial small subunit ribosomal RNA", at positions 524 to 776 of the family's 1533-position model. The record is from RNAcentral.